This 303-nucleotide ribosomal RNA is filed under the name uncultured bacterium. RNAcentral's name for it is "partial 16S ribosomal RNA". It matches the Rfam family "Bacterial small subunit ribosomal RNA", at positions 507 to 807 of the family's 1533-position model. The record is from RNAcentral.
AGCAGCAGCCGCGGUAAUACGAAGGGUGCAAGCGUUAAUCGGAAUUACUGGGCGUAAAGCGUGCGUAGGCGGUUUGUUAAGUCUGUUGUGAAAUCCCCGGGCUCAACCUGGGAAUGGCAAUGGAUACUGGCAAGCUAGAGUGUGUCAGAGGAUGGUGGAAUUCCCGGUGUAGCGGUGAAAUGCGUAGAGAUCGGGAGGAACAUCAGUGGCGAAGGCGGCCAUCUGGGACAACACUGACGCUGAGGCACGAAAGCGUGGGGAGCAAACAGGAUUAGAUACCCCAGUAGUCCCUGUCUCUUAUAC